Long non-coding RNA from Telopea speciosissima, 710 nucleotides. RefSeq lists it as uncharacterized. The transcript is spliced from 5 exons. The record is from RefSeq and is a predicted model, not a curated record. NCBI's taxonomy places the organism in Eukaryota, Viridiplantae, Streptophyta, Magnoliopsida, Proteales, Proteaceae.
ACGAUGCUAUGAAGAGAGGAUGGGUAGGAGUUUAGGCAAUUUCGAGGAAUAUUUGGCUCAACAAGUCUGGGAAGCAACUGGUUCAAUGGCUAGUUGAGGAAAUCGAGAAGUUACAUGAAAAGCAAGUUGAUUUACAGAGUACAGAGCUGAAGAAAGGAUCAGUACUUGAAGUUUCUGGUGUCACUGCUUCGUAGGUCGAUGUGGAGGUUUCAUUUGCCUUGUCAACAUUGGAGAAAGCUGAGCAUAUGGACCCAAUUUGGAAUAAUCCACAACUACUUUGUAGUCAAAAGGGGGCUUCUGUUAAAGGAAGUAUAGGACCAUUUGGAUUGCUAGUUUUGGCUUCUGAAGGCUUGGAAGAACAAACAUCCAUAUUUUUCAGGGUAUUCAAAGACCAGGAGAGAUAUGUGGUCCUCAUGUGCAGUGACCAAAGCAGGUCUUCUUUGAGGAAAGAUAAUGUGGAUAAAACCACCUAUGGAGCUAUUCUAGAUGUGGAUCCUCGGCAUGAAGAACUAUCACUGAGGAGCUUGAUAGAUCAUUCCAUCGUCGAGAGUUUUGGUGGCAAAGGAAAAGUUUGUAUCACAUAGGGUUUAUCCAGAAAAGGCUCAAUAUGACAAAGCACACCUAUAUGUAUUUAACAAUGGAACGGAGAAUAUAAGAAUCUCAAAGUUAAAAGCUUGGAGCAUGAAAAAAGCUCAAAUCAUUUAUUAAAA